This 1056-nucleotide long non-coding RNA is filed under the name Apteryx haastii (Great spotted kiwi). RNAcentral's name for it is "lncRNA (ENSAHAG00000010555.1)". The record is from RNAcentral. Lineage: Eukaryota; Metazoa; Chordata; Aves; Apterygiformes; Apterygidae.
AUGGCUGCGCGAAAACGUGCUCGCGUUGCCCUGAUUGCACCGUCCCUCCCGUGCGCAGCCUGCCGUCUGCUCACGCACGCAGCCUCCGUCCGCCGGGACAGCCCGCGCCCCGCUGCUCGGGGGCCGCCUGCACCGUCCCCGCGGCCCCGGCACCCCGGGGAACCCGGCCCUCGCUGCCCGGCUCUGUCCCACCUGAGCCGCAGCAGAGACGUCUCAGGGUGCCGGAUCCCAUCGGGCCAGGCCGGCGCCGGGGCACAGCUGACCCCGGCAAGGGGCGCAGCGCUCCCUCCGGCACCUGGGCACCCCGUCCGAGGCGGGUGGCGCUGGCAGCUGUCGGCAGGAGGGGAUUACCGAGGUUCGGAGCCGGUGGCCGUCUCCCCGCACAGCAGCGGCGGCAGCAGCAGCAGCAGCAGCCACCACAGCAUCGGAAUUAAUUACACAGCAAAGGCAAUCAGGAUGCUUUGCUCGUUAGCGCACUGGAGAGGAACGGGGAUGGCCAGCCAGCACUUUGCAAGGGAUGGGGAAAGGAGCGGCGGAGGGGGGGCCCCAGGCCUGCCCUGCACCAAGACGCUCGGGAGCCCGCAGGGCCGGGGUCUCCCCUCCGCCUGGGGCAGCCAGGCCUUGCAAAGGGGUCCGCAGCCCGUGCACGGGGAGCAGAGGCUGCUCCGGCAUCGCGCUGGACGGGGCUGGGUGCCUCCGCCGGGCUCAGCUGGCGCCAGCGCUGCAGGAGCGGAGCCUGAGGGUCCCCAGGCAGCACGGCCCGGUGCUCCCCGUGCGGGGGCUCGCUCCCGAGCCGGCCCCUCCACGUGUGCAAGCGCAUGCGGGGCACAGAGCGCACGACCCCGCGGGGAGCCGGGCCGCUCCGGGAGCCCGAGCAGGUGCAGCGGGGGCAGAUGCGCCCCACGGCUCCCGCCCCUGCCGCCCGCCCCGCCGGGAGAGCGCCGGCACGGGGCUGCCGCCGUGGGGCCGCACAGCCCCCUCUCCCCCCUGCCCAGGCCACAGCCCCUGCGGCCCUGCGCCACCCGGAUGCGCCCUGCCUGCCUGCCAGUCCCUUGA